Molecule: ribosomal RNA, 253 nt
Filed under: uncultured prokaryote
Description: partial 16S ribosomal RNA
Rfam family: Bacterial small subunit ribosomal RNA
Source: RNAcentral
UACGGAGGGUGCGAGCGUUGUUCGGAAUCACUGGGCGUAAAGCGCGCGUAGGCGGUUUGUUAAGUGGGAUGUGAAAGCCCCGGGCUUAACCUGGGAAUUGCAUUUCAAACUGGCGAACUAGAGUGCGGUAGAGGGAGGUAGAAUUUCCUGUGUAGCGGUGAAAUGCGUAGAUAUAGGAAGGAAUACCAGUGGUGAAGGCGGCCUCCUGGAUCGACACUGACGCUAAGGCGCGAAAGCGUGGGGAGCAAACAGG